Molecule: ribosomal RNA, 254 nt
Filed under: uncultured bacterium
Lineage: Bacteria
Description: partial 16S ribosomal RNA
Rfam family: Bacterial small subunit ribosomal RNA
Source: RNAcentral
UACAGAGGGUGCAAGCGUUGCUCGGAAUUAUUGGGCGUAAAGGGCUCGUAGGCGGUCUGUCGCGUCGGGAGUGAAAACUCAGGGCUUAACCCUGAGCCUGCUUCCGAUACGGGCAGACUAGAGGUAUGCAGGGGGAGAACGGAAUUCCUGGUGUAGCGGUGGAAUGCGCAGAUAUCAGGAGGAACACCGGUGGCGAAGGCGGUUCUCUGGGCAUUACCUGACGCUGAGGAGCGAAAGUGUGGGGAGCGAACAGG